UGAAGUUGGAUUCGCUAGUAAUCGCGCAUCAGCCAUGGCGCGGUGAAUACGUUCCCGGGCCUUGUACACACCGCCCGUCAAGCCAUGGGAGCCGGGGGUGCCUGAAGUUCGUGACCGCAAGGAGCGACCUAGGGCAAAACUGGUGACUGGGGCUAAGUCGUAACAAGGUACC
RNAcentral lists this ribosomal RNA (172 nucleotides) under uncultured bacterium. Its description in RNAcentral is "partial 16S ribosomal RNA". It matches the Rfam family "Bacterial small subunit ribosomal RNA", at positions 1321 to 1500 of the family's 1533-position model. The record is from RNAcentral.